UCAUUAACAAGUUGGGCGAAAGCCCCUCUGUUUGUCCUCACACCUCUGCGUACCCAACCACGUUGCUUCCGAGGGACAGCCCUUCGGGGCCCGCCUCUCUCCGGCGGAGUCGCCCUCGGGAGGUAUACCAAACUCAUGUUGUUUUGAUUUCUGUCUGAAUGUGAAACUAUAACAGUUAAAACUUUCAACAACGGAUCUCUUGGUUCUCGCAUCGAUGAAGAACGCAGCGAAAUGCGAUAAGUAGUGUGAAUUGCAGAAUUCAGUGAAUCAUCGAAUCUUUGAACGCACAUUGCGCCCUCUGGUAUUCCGGGGGGCAUGCCUGUUCGAGCGUCAUCAAACAAACCUCAAGCUCUUUUUGCUUGGUAUUGGAGGUGGACGGGACAACCGCCCCCUCUCAAAGCGAUCUGGCGGAAAGCCUUGUCGGCCCAGGCGUAGUAAUUAAUCUUUCUCGUUUAGGCCGGCGGUGGUGUUCCUGCCGUACAACCCCCAAUCUACCAAUAGUUUGACCUCGGAUCAGGUAGGGAUACCCGCUGAACUUAAGCAUAUCAAUAAGCGGAGGAAAAGAAACCAACAGGGAUUGCCUUAGUAACUGCGAGUGAAGCGGCAUCAGCUCAAAUUUGAAAUCUGGCGUCUUCGGCGUCCGAGUUGUAAUUUGGAGGGGCAUCUUCGGGGAGGACGCAGGUCUAAGUUCCUUGGAACAGGACGUCAUAGAGGGUGAGAAUCCCGUCAUUGGCUUGCUGCUCCUCUCCAUGUGAAGUGCCUCCGACGAGUCGAGUUGUUUGGGAAUGCAGCUCAA
Molecule: ribosomal RNA, 796 nt
Filed under: Harmoniella junipericola
Lineage: Eukaryota; Fungi; Ascomycota; Pezizomycetes; Pezizales; Strobiloscyphaceae
Description: eukaryotic LSU rRNA
Rfam family: Eukaryotic large subunit ribosomal RNA (bases 504-796)
Source: RNAcentral